UAUUCUGCCCUACAGGGAAGGAUGAGAAGCUUCGACUAAGGUUCGACUAAGGUUCGACUCGAGCGAAGCGAGAGAACGUUGCCGCAGGCAACGGCCCGAAGGGCGAGGCGCUUUAGCGCCGAGUAAUCCUUCCCCCACCACCA
RNAcentral lists this small RNA (143 nucleotides) under Klebsiella pneumoniae. RNAcentral's name for it is "RtT sRNA". It matches the Rfam family "RtT RNA". From Rfam's summary of the family: This family represents a bacterial cis-regulatory element known as RtT RNA. The exact function of RtT is unknown although it is thought that it may be involved in changing the cellular response in relation to amino acid starvation. The record is from RNAcentral. Lineage: Bacteria; Pseudomonadati; Pseudomonadota; Gammaproteobacteria; Enterobacterales; Enterobacteriaceae. RNAcentral also lists the same sequence under 1 other name.